This 497-nucleotide ribosomal RNA is filed under the name uncultured bacterium. RNAcentral describes it as "partial 16S ribosomal RNA". It matches the Rfam family "Bacterial small subunit ribosomal RNA", at positions 28 to 507 of the family's 1533-position model. The record is from RNAcentral.
GAUGAACGCUAGCGGCAUGCCUAAUACAUGCAAGUCGAGCGACCAGAUAGGUAGCUUUCUCCUCUGACGUUAGCGGCGGACGGGUGAGUAACACGUGGAUAACCUACCUAUAAGACUGGGAUAACUUCGGGAGACCGGCGCUAAUACCAGAUAAUAUAUUUAACCGCAUGGUUCAAUAGUGAAAGACGGUUUUGCUGUCACUUAUCGAUGGAUCCGCGCCGCAUUAGCUAGUUGGUAAGGUAACGGAUUACCAAGGCAACGGUGCGUAGCCGACCUGAGAGGGUGGUCGGCCACACUGGAACUGAGACACGGUCCAGACUCAGACGGGAGGCAGCAGUAGGGAAUCUUCCGCAAUGGGCGAAAGCCUGAGGGAGCAACGCCGCGUGAGUGAUGAAGGUCUUCGGAUCGUAAAACUCUGUUAUUAGGGAAGAAGAAAUGUGUAAGUAACUAUGCACGUCUUGAAGGUACCUAAUCAGAAAGCCACGGCUAACUACGUG